RNAcentral lists this small RNA (817 nucleotides) under uncultured Tetracladium. RNAcentral's name for it is "eukaryotic LSU rRNA". The stretch from base 534 to 817 matches the Rfam family "Eukaryotic large subunit ribosomal RNA", at positions 1 to 281 of the family's 3401-position model. Lineage: Eukaryota; Fungi; Ascomycota. The record is from RNAcentral.
CUUGGUCAUUUAGAGGAAGUAAAAGUCGUAACAAGGUUUCCGUAGGUGAACCUGCGGAAGGAUCAUUACCGAGUUCAUGCCCUCACGGGUAGAUCUCCCACCCUUUGUAUACCAUACCUUUGUUGCUUUGGCGGGCCGCCUAGCUACUGGCUUCGGCUGGUAAGUGCCCGCCAGAGGACCCAAAACCCUGAAUAUUAGUGUCGUCUGAGUAAAAUUUUAAUAUUUAAAACUUUCAACAACGGAUCUCUUGGCUCUGGCAUCGAUGAAGAACGCAGCGAAAUGCGAUAAGUAAUGUGAAUUGCAGAAUUCAGUGAAUCAUCGAAUCUUUGAACGCACAUUGCGCCCCUUGGUAUUCCGAGGGGCAUGCCUAUUCGAGCGUCAUUAUCACCCCUCAAGCUUCGGCUUGGUGUUGAGGCCUGCUGUAAAGGCACCCUCUAAAAUCAGUGGCAGUGCUGUCAGGCUCUAAGCGUAGUAAUUUCAUCGCUAUAGGGUCCUGGUGGAUACCCGUCAAAACCCCCCCAUUUUUUAAUGAUUGACCUCGGAUUAGGUAGGGAUACCCGCUGAACUUAAGCAUAUCAAUAAGCGGAGGAAAAGAAACCAACAGGGAUUGCCUCAGUAACGGCGAGUGAAGCGGCAAAAGCUCAAAUUUGAAAUCUGGCUCUUUUAGGGUCCGAGUUGUAAUUUGUAGAAGAUGUUUCGGGUGUGGCUCCGGUUUAAGUUCUUUGGAAUAUUACAUCAUAGAGGGUGAGAAUCCCGUAUAUGACCGGCAGCCUUCGCCUAUGUGAAACUCUUUCGACGAGUCGAGUUGUUUGGGAAU